GGGGUUCUAGCUCAUCGGUAGAGCGCUCGCUUAGCAUCCGUACUUGUGUGGUUGCGAGAGGCGCUGGGUUCGAUUCCCAGGUACUCCA
This is a non-coding RNA of Melampsora americana, 88 nucleotides long. Lineage: Eukaryota; Fungi; Basidiomycota; Pucciniomycetes; Pucciniales; Melampsoraceae. The record is from the annotation of a GenBank genome assembly.